Molecule: unclassified non-coding RNA, 108 nt
Filed under: Faecalitalea cylindroides T2-87
Lineage: Bacteria; Bacillati; Bacillota; Erysipelotrichia; Erysipelotrichales; Erysipelotrichaceae
Description: Pseudoknot of the domain G(G12) of 23S ribosomal RNA
Rfam family: Bacterial large subunit ribosomal RNA
Source: RNAcentral
CCCAAAGGUACGCUCAGAUUGGAUGGAAACCAAUCGCCGAGUGCAAAUGCAGAAGCGUGCUUGACUGUGAGAGCAACAACUCGAACAGGGACGAAAGUCGGGAUUAGU